RNAcentral lists this transfer RNA (72 nucleotides) under Ovis aries (sheep). It matches the Rfam family "tRNA". From Rfam's summary of the family: Transfer RNA (tRNA) molecules are approximately 80 nucleotides in length. Their secondary structure includes four short double-helical elements and three loops (D, anti-codon, and T loops). Lineage: Eukaryota; Metazoa; Chordata; Mammalia; Artiodactyla; Bovidae. The record is from Rfam by way of RNAcentral.
UUCCUGGUGGCUCAGACGGUAAAGCGUCUGCCUACAAUGCAGGAGACCCGGGUUCAGUCCCUGGGUUGGGAA